This 250-nucleotide ribosomal RNA is filed under the name Verrucomicrobiia bacterium. RNAcentral describes it as "partial 16S ribosomal RNA". It matches the Rfam family "Bacterial small subunit ribosomal RNA", at positions 1 to 252 of the family's 1533-position model. Lineage: Bacteria; Pseudomonadati; Verrucomicrobiota; Verrucomicrobiia. The record is from RNAcentral.
UAUUCGAAGAGUUUGAUUCUGGCUCAGAACGAACGCUGGCGGCGUGGAUAAGACAUGCAAGUCGAACGGAGAGUUUUUGAAGCUUGCUUUAAAAGCUCUUAGUGGCGAACGGGUGAGUAACACGUGAGUUACCUGCCCCGAAGUGGGAGAUAGCCCGGAGAAAUCCGGAUUAAUACCCCAUGUGAUCGAAAGAUUAAAGGCGGCGUAAGCUGUCGCUUCGGGAUGGGCUCGCGGCCUAUCAGCUUGUUGG